AACGAACGCUGGCGGCGCGCUUAACACACGCAAGUCGAACGAGAAGGCGUAGCAAUACGCUUGUACAGUGGCGAACGGGUGAGGAAUACAUGGGGUAAACCUACCCUCGAGUGGGGGAUAACCCGCCGAAGGCGGGCUAAUACCGCGUACGCUUCCGAUCUUGCGGGAUUGGAAGGAAAGCUGUCCCUUGGGGAUGGCGCUCAAGGAUGGGCUCAUGUCCUAUCAGCUUGUUGGUAGGGAACGGCCUACCAAGGCAUCGAC
RNAcentral lists this ribosomal RNA (261 nucleotides) under uncultured bacterium. Its description in RNAcentral is "partial 16S ribosomal RNA". It matches the Rfam family "Bacterial small subunit ribosomal RNA", at positions 29 to 280 of the family's 1533-position model. The record is from RNAcentral.